RNAcentral lists this ribosomal RNA (324 nucleotides) under Triticum aestivum (bread wheat). RNAcentral's name for it is "partial small subunit ribosomal RNA". Lineage: Eukaryota; Viridiplantae; Streptophyta; Magnoliopsida; Poales; Poaceae. The record is from RNAcentral.
AUGAAUGGACCGAGGAAAAAAGGAGCUUCUUUUGAAUGGAUUCCUCGUUUUCUACCUCAAAGUAGAAAUCUCCAAAAUGUUGGCUUGACAACGAUAUGUUGGGCGAUUUGGAAGCUCAGAAAUAGAUCUUGUUUUGAAUUUAAAUUAUUAAGAUCACCCGCUGAAUUUAUCUGCUAUGUUGUUUCUUUCAUGAACUAUUCGGGAGCUCUGCAAAAUGAUGAAGACCGAGCAAUGUUGACGUUGGAAAUAUCCCUAGACACAAUAAUAAAGUGGUUAUUAUUAUGUUUCCUUAUUCAUGAUAAUCGUUUAUUAUCCAUGUUAUAA